GUUCGACAAAGAUGGAGAUGGUUCCAUCCUUCCUUAUAUUUAUAUAUAUUUCUAGAUCUAGCUUUGAUUUUGGUGUUUGUGUCUGUCUUAGUCUUAUUUUCUGUAUUUUUCAUUCGUUUUUGCUUGUGGAUAUUUUGAUGGUUGAAUAAUUUUUUCCAAUUUUCAAUUUAUUAUUUGAUCGCUGUUUUGAACUUUUUUUUCUUCGAGAUGCGAAAAUGUUUUUUCCAUUGUUUGGAAAUUGUGUUGCCUUAUAUAGAAAGCAGGAAAUUACUAAAUAUUUGACUCAAUUAAUAAGAUUAAAUUACAAAAUGCAUCCCAUUAUUUCUUAAAAUUCUUACUUUUAAAAUGAAAUUGAAUAUACAUGACACUCUUAAAUUCACACUUGAAUUUUGAUUCAAUUUUGUGAUGUAUAUUUAGUGUUUUUAAUAGAAUCCCAACAAUUUGAAAUUUUUAGCAUUUUUGGUUCUUACCCUCAUUGUGAAUUCUUUUUAGCUAGUGAACGCAAACGUGUAUCCUUUAUGUUAUUAUAUACUUGAUUUGUUCUACGGAUUUGAUAUGUGGCUCUAUGAGUUUCCUGCUGAUUAUUGUACAAACUGAUGUGUUUCUUCUUGUCCUGGCCAUGGCAUCAUGACAAUUUUCUCAAAAAGUGUUGCUCUACAUGUUGGAUACUUGAAACUAUUUGUAAACUCUCGUUGUUGUCACACAUGCUAAGGUCUAUUCAGAAGAUUGAAACAGAGGUGUUUGUUGUUGCAAUUGUUGUUUUAGUGUGGUUUUCUUUGUACUAUUGCAACAUAAUUACAAUCCAUAAAAUGAUUCCCCUAUGAUUAGAGUCAUGAUAUGUAGUUGAAGUUUAAGGUCUAGUUUUUUAAUUAAUUUAUUUUCAAUUUCAGGUUGCAUUACCACAAAGGAGCUU
Molecule: unclassified non-coding RNA, 913 nt
Filed under: Hevea brasiliensis (rubber tree)
Lineage: Eukaryota; Viridiplantae; Streptophyta; Magnoliopsida; Malpighiales; Euphorbiaceae
Source: RNAcentral